GCUCGGCAGCUGCGGCGGCGGCUGGUGUAGGCGCUCACGUCAGGGCUGGGAGGAGGGGGUUCGCAGCUCAGAGAGAGAGAGACAUGAGGCAACCUGGCAGGAAGCGAGAAAGAGUUCGGCGAAGAAGGAGUGAGUUCUAGAGACGCCCCGCGAGCAGGACCCGCGCCUGCCGGAGAGCCUGGCCGACCCGGCUCCUCGCCUUCUCUGCGCGCUCUCCCGCGUCCGCUUUCAGCACCCCGAGCGGAGAACAGUUCCCGGGAGCCCGCAGCGCUGCCGAGUGGCCGCCGGCCGGCCGAGUACCCGGAGCUCCAGGGGGCUCAGGAGCACCCUCUGAGAACCCGCUGUGCACCCACCUUUUCCCCUCUUUUGGUGGGCAAGUAAGCACGGGGGAAAAGCAUCCGGUGGCCUCAGGGAGCCCUGAAGAAACCGAAGCAGAAUGUACCAGGGACACAUGCAGUAAAGAACAAGGAUAUGGAAAACUAAGCAGUGAUGAAGACCUCGAAAUAAUUGUUGAUCAAAAGCAGGUAGUAGGUGUAACCUUGAAGAAAAAGUGGCACUGUCUUCAAAAAAGUGACCUGACCCUGGCU
Molecule: small RNA, 587 nt
Filed under: Pan troglodytes (chimpanzee)
Lineage: Eukaryota; Metazoa; Chordata; Mammalia; Primates; Hominidae
Description: processed transcript
Source: RNAcentral